AGCAAGAGUCUCCAAAGACACCAGGGCAAAGAGUUUAAAUACAUAGGUAUGUACUUGAGUGAAGUAAAGAAUUUUAAAAAUCCUGCGCUACCUUAUUCUCAUGAUGACAAUUAAGACAGAAACAAAGUUACAGAUCCUCCUGUCCUAAUGUUUUACCAAAGCCAGAAGUUUUACUGCUAAGUUUAUUUCACUAUUUGCUGUCAUUUGCCCUCUCUGAUGAGGUCAGUUACCAUGUUGUGGCUAUCCUGUGAAGAAGACCAGAUGAAAAGGAACUGAGAGAUGCCUCUGACCAACAGCAGAGGAGGAAAUGAAUCUGGAAACAACCAUGUGAAUAAAUCUGAGAAUGAAUGCAACCCUAGCUGAACCUUAAAGUACCAUCUGACACCUUCAUUACAGCCUUGUGAUAGACUGAGAGCCAGAGGACCCAGAUGAACCACACUGGGUACCUGACCCACAGAAGCUACAAGAUAAAUGGUUGCUGCGAUAAUAAAUGGUUAUUGCUUUAAACCACCAAGCCAUGGGUCAAUUUGUUAUACAACAAUAAAUAAUUAACAUAUUAGGU
This 562-nucleotide long non-coding RNA is filed under the name Homo sapiens (human). RNAcentral's name for it is "HSALNT0364769". The record is from RNAcentral. Lineage: Eukaryota; Metazoa; Chordata; Mammalia; Primates; Hominidae.